GGGGAUGUAGCUCAGCAGUAGAGUGCAUGCUUUGCAUGUAUGAGGCCCCGGGUUCAAUCCCUGGCAUCUCCA
This is a non-coding RNA of Cygnus olor (mute swan), 72 nucleotides long. NCBI's taxonomy places the organism in Eukaryota, Metazoa, Chordata, Aves, Anseriformes, Anatidae. The record is from the annotation of a RefSeq genome assembly.